Molecule: ribosomal RNA, 542 nt
Filed under: Hansenula anomala
Lineage: Eukaryota; Fungi; Ascomycota; Saccharomycetes; Phaffomycetales; Wickerhamomycetaceae
Description: Wickerhamomyces anomalus partial large subunit ribosomal RNA
Rfam family: Eukaryotic large subunit ribosomal RNA
Source: RNAcentral
AAACCAACAGGGAUUGCCUCAGUAACGGCGAGUGAAGCGGCAAAAGCUCAAAUUUGAAAUCUAGCACCUUCGGUGUUCGAGUUGUAAUUUGAAGAUGGUAACCUUGGGUUUGGCUCUUGUCUAUGUUCCUUGGAACAGGACGUCAUAGAGGGUGAGAAUCCCGUCUGAUGAGAUGCCCAUUCCUAUGUAAGGUGCUAUCGAAGAGUCGAGUUGUUUGGGAAUGCAGCUCUAAGUGGGUGGUAAAUUCCAUCUAAAGCUAAAUAUUGGCGAGAGACCGAUAGCGAACAAGUACAGUGAUGGAAAGAUGAAAAGAACUUUGAAAAGAGAGUGAAAAAGUACGUGAAAUUGUUGAAAGGGAAGGGCAUUAGAUCAGACUUGGUGUUUUACGAUUAUCUUCUCUUCUUGAGUUGUGCACUCGUAUUUCACUGGGCCAGCAUCGAUUCGGAUGGCAAGAUAAUGGCAGUUGAAUGUGGCUUCACUUCGGUGGAGUGUUAUAGCUUCUGCUGAUAUUGCCUGUCUGGAUCGAGGGCUGCGUCUUUUGA